GAGCUUGUGAGAGUCAUUUCACUGCAGACGCUCGUCCUGUCGAGAGUAAAUGAACAGAGCAUGGAUCUGUCACAGCACAGAAAGGACAGAGCUCCUCCCUCUAAAACCACUCACCCCCCAAAACCUCAGAGAUCUGCUCCUUGGAUCAGUGGUGUGUCAGUGAAGAGUGAUGACUCAAUGGAGCAUGGAAUAAGCUUUAAAGAAAGCAACAAUCCACAUAACGAACAGCUGUAUUCAGAGGUCCCCCAUGGUCAGCACCAUCAGACACAG
Molecule: long non-coding RNA, 270 nt
Organism: Boleophthalmus pectinirostris (great blue-spotted mudskipper)
Lineage: Eukaryota; Metazoa; Chordata; Actinopteri; Gobiiformes; Gobiidae
Exons: 4
Source: RefSeq, a predicted model, not a curated record